CCGACCGUGACUCUUUACGCGACGCGACGAUUAAUUCAAGGUUAACCUAUAUAUAUUGACGGCAGGGAGCUGAUAGUGCUGAUACUGAGAUCAAGGAGCCUGUUCACACGAGGCGUUUCUGCCGCGCGAUUGCGGCCGCGCGUUAACGUUUGCACGAGCCGCACGCUGUCACGAGGUAAGGUGCGACAACGCGCGCAUACGCGCGUACACGAAACGGCAGUAACACCGUAAUCGUGCCGGCGAUAUACUGAAUUUGAAUUGCUUCGUGCUUAUCUGGAGAUUUCGUAUCCCUACAUCGUGUUACCACCGCUGCCGGAAAAGAAGGUUCUCUACGCUUGGCAGAAAGUGACGACUGACACGUUCGAUCCCGACUUCGUUGAUCGCGGAAGAGCUGGACUCGAGAGGUAUAUAUAUUGACAGCAGAGAGCUGAUACCGAGGAGAUCAAGGAACCUGUUCACAGGAGGUGUUUCUGCCGCGCGUACAUAAUAUGUUCCCUGCUGAAAAUGACCGAUUAAAUCCGAUUGGUUCCGUAUUAAAUUUGGUGAAAUUGAAUCGGAAUGAAUGCGUUUUCAAUCCGGUUAAUCGGAUGCCCGAUUGGAAGUGAAUCGGUUCUAAUAACAAAUCAAUCGGAAUCGUUUUUAAUUCGGCAUUUCCGGAUUGAUCUGAAUCCGUCGUUAUCAGUUUCAAUUGUAUUAAUGCACAUCCAUUUUAAUCGGGUGAAUAAAGUGAGCACAUGAAUCGUGUUGAAUCCGCAUCAAUCGUAAAAUUUUAAUACAACACCGAAAUCGGAUUUAAUGCGAUAUUUCCGGAUUCAUUUGAAUCCGACUGAAUCGGUUUCAAUCGUAUUAAUCCUAAUCCAUUUUAAUAGGGUAAAUAAAAUGACCACAUGAAUCGUAUUCAAUCCGCAUCAAUCGUGAAAUUUUAAUACAACACCGGAAUCGGAUUUAAUGCGAUAUUUCCGGAUUCAUCUAAAUUCUACUCAAUCGGUUUCAAUCGUAUCUGCGCUUAAUCCAUUUAAAUUGGGUAGUGAAAGUAGCUAUGUGAAUCGGAUUAAAUCCGCUUUAAUCAUUAAAAUUGUAUAUAACACAUAAUUUUUACGUAAUAGAGUUCUUACAGGAUUUCCUUUUGGUAAAGUCAUGAAUUCUAUAUUUGCAAAAUUGUAAAUGUUUUUAUUUAACCCUUCGAGAACACACAGGGUUAAUUUGACCCUUUUUUUUGCCAGAAAAAUUUUUAGCCAAAAAUAUUAAACAUAAAAAAAUAAAAUUUUUUUCGUAAAAACCAUUUUUUUUCCAAAAGAACACACUGGUUCAAUCUGACCCUACACACACUUUGAUCGUCUACCAU
Molecule: long non-coding RNA, 1345 nt
Organism: Temnothorax curvispinosus
Lineage: Eukaryota; Metazoa; Arthropoda; Insecta; Hymenoptera; Formicidae
Exons: 3
Source: RefSeq, a predicted model, not a curated record